ACAACUUUCAGCAACGGAUCUCUUGGCUCUCGCAUCGAUGAAGAACCCAGCGAAUUGCGAUAAGUAAUGUGAAUUGCAGAUUUUCAGUGAAUCAUCGAAUCUUUGAACGCACCUUGCGCUCCUUGGUAUUCCGAGGAGCAUGCCUGUUUGAGUGUCAUG
RNAcentral lists this ribosomal RNA (159 nucleotides) under Xerocomellus sp. 'atropurpureus'. RNAcentral's name for it is "5.8S ribosomal RNA". It matches the Rfam family "5.8S ribosomal RNA". From Rfam's summary of the family: 5.8S ribosomal RNA (5.8S rRNA) is a component of the large subunit of the eukaryotic ribosome. It is transcribed by RNA polymerase I as part of the 45S precursor that also contains 18S and 28S rRNA. The record is from RNAcentral. Lineage: Eukaryota; Fungi; Basidiomycota; Agaricomycetes; Boletales; Boletaceae.